CGCCCACUAGCUAGCCCCCCAAACCAAAAACAACACACCAAUAUAAAUAUCCCUAAAUGCACUAACACCCGCAUAAAACAAACCAUUUUUCCCCCUUAGUAUGGGCGACAGAAAAGGAACCGUGGCGCAAUAGAGAAAGUACCGCAAGGGAACGCUGAAAGAGAAAUGAAACAACUCAGUCAAGCUAAAAAAAGCAGAGAUUUAAGCUCGUACCUUUUGCAUCAUGAUUUAGCCAGUAAAACCCAAGCAAAGAGCCCUUUAGUUUGGUUUCCCGAAACUAAGUGAGCUACUCCAAGACAGCCUAUUAAUAGGGCAAACCCGUCCCUGUGGCAAAAGGGUGGGAAGAGCUUUGAGUAGAGGUGACAAACCUACCGAACUUAGUUAUAGCUGGUUGCCUGAGAAUUGAAUAGAAGUUCAGCCUCUCGGCUUCUUCCCUCACCCUCGUCCGACCCCCCUCUGACACCUUAAGAAACCGCGAGAGUUACUCAAAGGGGGUACAGCCCCUUUGAGACAAGACACAACUUUACCAGGAGGGUAAAGAUCAUAAUAACAAAAAGGUAAAAUGUUCUGGUGGGCCUAAAAGCAGCCAUCCCUAUAGAAAGCGUUAAAGCUCAGACAUACCCCUCAUCCUUUUAUACUGAUAAUCUAAUCUUAACCCCCUAACCCUACCAGGCCAUCCCAUGCAAACAUGGGAGCGACUAUGCUAAUAUGAGUAAUAAGAGAGCCUCCGCCUCUCUCCUUGCACACGUGUAAAUCGGAAUGGACCCCCCACCGAAUCUUAACGGCCCCAAAUAAAGAGGGAACUGAACAACAGACCAAACAACCAGAAAACCAUCCAACGAACAACCGUUAACCCCACACUGGUGUGCCCCUAAGGAAAGACUAGAGAAAAAGAUGACUCGGCAAACACAUAAAGCCUCGCCUGUUUACCAAAAACAUCGCCUCUUGCAAAACUGAGGAAUAAGAGGUCCCGCCUGCCCUGUGACUAUAUGUUUAACGGCCGCGGUAUUUUGACCGUGCGAAGGUAGCGCAAUCACUUGUCUUUUAAAUGGAGACCUGUAUGAAUGGCAUAACGAGGGCUUAGCUGUCUCCUUUUUCAAGUCAAUGAAAUUGAUCUCCCCGUGCAGAAGCGGGGAUAACACCAUAAGACGAGAAGACCCUAUGGAGCUUUAGACACCAAGGCAGAUCAUGUUAAACACCCCUUCACAAAGGACUAAACCAGAUGAACCCUGCCCUAAUGUCUUUGGUUGGGGCGACCGCGGGGAAACAAAAAACCCCCAUGUGGAAUGGGAACACUCCUUCCUACAACUAAGAGCUCCCGCUCUAAUGACCAGAACUUCUGACCAAUCAGAUCCGGCAACGCCGAUCAACGAACCGAGUUACCCUAGGGAUAACAGCGCAAUCCCCUUUUAGAGCCCAUAUCGACAAGGGGGUUUACGACCUCGAUGUUGGAUCAGGACAUCCUAAUGGUGCAGCCGCUAUUAAGGGUUCGUUUGUUCAACGAUUAAAGUCCUACGUGAUCUGAGUUCAGACCGGAGUAAUCCAGGUCAGUUUCUAUCUAUGACAUGAUCUUUUCUAGUACGAAAGGACCGAAAAGAAGAGGCCCAUGCUCAAGGUACGCCUCACCCCCACCUAAUGAAAACAACUAAAAUAGGCAAAAGGGCAUGCCCCUGUGCCGGAGAGAACGGCAU
RNAcentral lists this ribosomal RNA (1691 nucleotides) under Kyphosus bigibbus (brown chub). RNAcentral's name for it is "16S ribosomal RNA". The stretch from base 99 to 1612 matches the Rfam family "Bacterial large subunit ribosomal RNA". The record is from RNAcentral. Lineage: Eukaryota; Metazoa; Chordata; Actinopteri; Centrarchiformes; Kyphosidae.